UAGGGAAUCUUCGGCAAUGGGGGGAACCCUGACCGAGCAACGCCGCGUGAGUGAAGAAGGUUUUCGGAUCGUAAAGCCCUGUUGUUAAGGAAGAACGAGUGUGAGAAUGGAAAGUUCAUGCUGUGACGGUACUUAACCAGAAAGGGACGGCUAACUACGUUCCAGCAGCCGCGGUAAUACGUAGGUCCCGAGCGUUGUCCGGAUUUAUUGGGCGUAAAGCGAGGGCAGGCGGUUAGAUAAGUCUGAAGUUAAAGGCAGUGGCUCAACCAUUGUAGGCUUUGGAAACUGUUUAACUUGGGUGCAGAAGGGGAGGGUGGAAUUCCAUGUGUAGCGGUGAAAUGCGUAGAUAUAUGGAGGAACACCGGUGGCGAAAGCGGCUCUCUGGUCUGAAACUGACGCUGAGGCUCGAAAGCGUGGGGAGCGAACAGG
This 429-nucleotide ribosomal RNA is filed under the name Bacteroidota bacterium. RNAcentral describes it as "Bacteroidetes bacterium partial 16S ribosomal RNA". It matches the Rfam family "Bacterial small subunit ribosomal RNA", at positions 355 to 776 of the family's 1533-position model. The record is from RNAcentral. Lineage: Bacteria; Pseudomonadati; Bacteroidota.